RNAcentral lists this ribosomal RNA (402 nucleotides) under uncultured bacterium. Its description in RNAcentral is "bacterial SSU rRNA". It matches the Rfam family "Bacterial small subunit ribosomal RNA", at positions 355 to 774 of the family's 1533-position model. The record is from RNAcentral.
UGGGGAAUAUUGGACAAUGGGCGAAAGCCUGAUCCAGCCAUGCCGCGUGAGUGAUGAAGGCCCUAGGGUUGUAAAGCUCUUUUGUGCGGGAAGAUAAUGACGGUACCGCAAGAAUAAGCCCCGGCUAACUUCGUGCCAGCAGCCGCGGUAAUACGAAGGGGGCUAGCGUUGCUCGGAAUCACUGGGCGUAAAGGGUGCGUAGGCGGGUUUCUAAGUCAGAGGUGAAAGCCUGGAGCUCAACUCCAGAACUGCCUUUGAUACUGGAAGUCUUGAGUUCGGGAGAGGUGAGUGGAACUGCGAGUGUAGAGGUGAAAUUCGUAGAUAUUCGCAAGAACACCAGUGGCGAAGGCGGCUCACUGGCCCGAUACUGACGCUGAGGCACGAAAGCGUUGGGAGCAAACA